Non-coding RNA from Pimephales promelas (fathead minnow), 1223 nucleotides. The record is from RefSeq and is a predicted model, not a curated record. NCBI's taxonomy places the organism in Eukaryota, Metazoa, Chordata, Actinopteri, Cypriniformes, Leuciscidae.
UAAAAUGUAACUGAUGAUCUUACUAAUAACAUUAAGUGAAUAAAACUUAUUUUGAAUAAGUUUGUUGACCUUACUAAGUUUGAUAAAGUAAGGACAACGUUUUAGCACGGUAAGUUAUUAAACUCAAAAGAUUAAAUUAACCUCUACUUAAAAUAAUAAGUAUGUUGAACAUUUUUCGAGUGGUCAUGCGCAGUUCUACCAGUAGGUGGAGCCGAUUUGAAAACGUAAUACCAUUAUUUCGGAUGAGGAAAGCACAUGGAAAGGUGAGUCAGUGCUUUUUAUGUCUUAUUUUAAUGUCUGAAUUGCUUAAUAUACACAAUUGACCGUGUAAUAAAUGAAACAGAUUAAACAAUCUAGCGUUACACAUGAACAUUGGAUGUGUUAUUUUAAUCAAAUUCUUGGAUUGUGUUGGAUUGUGCUAAUCGAAAUGAGCAGUCUAGCAUUUGCAAAUCGGUAGCCUAAUCGUUAGGUCCAUGCUUUCAAUCAAGGAACAUACUUUAUGAUACAACUGUUUUUUGGGAGAACUAUUCUUUUAUGUUAAUAAAACAAAAGUCACUGAAAAUCACUCACUUAAAUACAGUGGCUUUAAUAAGAAUAAAUUAUUAAUGUAUACUGUCAAGCCAAUUUAUAGGGUUUAUCUUAUUUAUAUAUUAUGUUGUGUAUAUGUAACGUGUAUCUUUAUUCCUAUUUCUUUAUUAACAAAGAUUAAACAAUUACUAAGCUUUUUAUUAUCAUUAAUUUUGACCUAAAAUGUCUGCUAUUCUAUUUUGUUUUUAGCUUUGUUUUUUGAAAAUAUGGAAAUUUGUUUGGCUGUAAUGCAAAACAGUAAAACCAACAUGAAAAGAAUUGUGAUAUCAUAUUUUGCCAUAUCGCCCACCCCACACUUUAAAUGUUUGAACACUAUUGAUUUAUAAAUUAAAAUACAAAGCUGUAUAUUAAAAAAGUGUGUAUUUUAAUAUUAUUUUCUUCAUUUGCAGAGCUUGCUUUGUGAGAUGAGACAUGCAAAGGAAAUAUCAAUUCAGAGUUUAUUCGCAUCACAAGCAAAAACCUCAAGCAAGAAUUUUUUACAGCACUUGAUCAACAUACAGCUCCAUUUCUGGCAGUUGGAAAAAAAACUUUCUGAAUUUGUGGGCACUGACAUCACUGCAAAUCGCACAGCAGUUCUUUGUGGACUUCCCCUCAUUUUUGGAGAAGACACCUCAGACUUUUUCAAAACAAUAUUG